AUACGAAAGGUGCAAGCGUUGUUCGGAUUUACUGGGCGUAAAGAGAGUGUAGGUUGUUUAUUAAGUCGGAUGUGAAAUCCCGGGGCUCAACCUCGGAACUGCAUUCGAUACUGGUAGACUAGAGUUCGGGAGGGGUAAGCGGAAUUCCGUGUGUAGCAGUGAAAUGCGUAGAUAUACGGAGGAACACCUGAGGCGAAGGCGGCUUACUGGACCGAUACUGACACUGAGACUCGAAAGCGUGGGUAGCAAACAGGAUUAGAAACCCUAGUAGUCC
RNAcentral lists this ribosomal RNA (274 nucleotides) under uncultured bacterium. RNAcentral describes it as "partial 16S ribosomal RNA". It matches the Rfam family "Bacterial small subunit ribosomal RNA", at positions 523 to 796 of the family's 1533-position model. The record is from RNAcentral.